UGUUUGGACACUGGAUGGGAGCCCGAGCCUAUGAGAAGGAUCUGGACUGGAGAGAGCAUCCUGAUCCGAAACUAGUAGUAGUAGUAGUAGUAUUAGUAGGCGGCAGCAGCUCCUCGCAACAAGAAAAACGAUUCCUUCAUUCUUCUUCUACUCUAUCUUCCUUCCUUCCUUUCCUCUCAGUUGCCGAUUCUUCUUCUAGGUCAGGCUCAAACUCGAUACUCUUUCUUUAUAAGUACUAGUAUUACUAGUCUAGUAAUCUGCCAGUUAUGGAUGUAUCAUCAGUAUCCUCUUACUAUUAUCGCUCAUCCCCUUUUCUUCGCCUUUCUGAUGUAAUGAUUCCUAACACAAUGCUUCCUUUAUUACUUUCCAAACCUAAUAAAUCUCUUACCCAUGUCGAGAGAUUUAUUACUACUUUCUUCUCCUAAUCCAAGUAUUUCCUCAUCGUUACAGAGUUCACAAAAUGUACCUAGUUUAAGUUGUGAUAGCAGCAGCAUUAGUACCAACGAUGUGCUUUCUUUCACAAAUGAUGAUACAAUCAAUUCUUGUGGGUUAUCCGACCAAUUUCGUGUUCUAUGUAAGUCCUCUGAGAUGCCGAAUGCAGUCUUGAAACUUCUGAGUGACUAUGGUUUUUCACAAACCCAAGUCGAAACCAUAGUUUCCAAUUACCCCAGAAUUCUCUUCUGCAAAGUUGAGAAAACCCUCAAGCCCAAGAUUGAUCUCCUUCGUUCGGUUGGCUUAUCUGAAACUGAAUUCCUUGGUGUGGUCACCACCUGCCCUCUGUUAUUUUCACGAAGCUUAAAGAAUCACCUUGUCCCAAUAGUUGAGUUUCUUGUAACUUCGUUUGGUUCUCAAGAUGAUGCAGUUUUUGUAAUUAAAAAGUACCCAUUUAUUCUGUUCAACACCUCAAAAAAUGUGGUGCCUAAUCUGUCAACAUUGCGAAAUCUUGGCAUCCCCCAAUCCCAGAUUUCAAAUAUGAUGGCUAAUAUAAUAGGUGGCUUUGUAAUAGCAUGCACAAAACCAUGCAGGUUUAGCAAGGUUGUGUCCACUGCAAUGGAAAUGGGUUUCAAGCCCUUUGUCAACGGCAUUUAAAAAUGCUGUCAGUGCAAUGUUAUUCUGCUCUCGAUUGACUUGGGAGGAGAAACUUGCGUUUUACAGAACCUUGGGGUUUUCCAAUGAGGAGACCCUUAAUAUCUUCAUGUUCAACCCCUCUUUGAUAUCCCGGUCAGAGGAGGUGAUAAGAGGCACGAUGGAGUUCUACGUCAAUAAGUUUCAUUGGAGCCCAUCACAGUUGUCAAGGAGGGCUGCAGUAUUUAGUUAUAAUUUGGAGAAGAGGAUCAUCCCAAGGUGUUCAGUUGUGCAAGUUUUGUUGUCAAGAAACAAGAUUCAUGAAAAUGUGAAGUUGUUAACAGUUUUGAACUGUGGAGAGAACGAAUUCUUGCGGAGGUAUGUGAUUAAGUACGAGGAUGAGACUCCUGAAGUGUUGGACGCGUACCAAGGUAAGAUGAAAAUCUGCUGAAUGUGACUUAUAUUGGGAGGAACUGAGCAGGCUACCGUUUAAAAUUAUACUGUAGCUCAGAACGUAAGGGGAGCAGUUGAGCUCUAUGUAAAGGAAGUUUCAUUGGUGCCAAUUGGAGUAGUCAAAAGAGGAGCUUUGGGACAACGGGUUUGGCUUUGCAAGUUUUACAGUGCAGAAACCGGAUUUAAGAUUCUGACUGUAACCUCAAUUGCGAAGACCGGAUAGAGCAAUUCCUUGGUGAGGUACAUGAAUAAGUACGCGCGCAGGUUAGUUUCCUGAAGUGUUAAAAUGGUUACCAAGGUAAGACGAAAUCUGAUGAAUGCAACUUUGAUUCUAAGAAAAUGAGGACUGCUUUUAUCUUCGCUUUCUGCCUUACGCUUUGUGGUUACCAUUUUCAUCUAUGCAUAUUCUUUUAUGAGUAUAGUGUACUAGCUUUGGUGCCUCAGAUUGAGACACUAAAACAUUUCUGUCAAUUAGUACGUAUCUAUUUAUAUGUGCUUUUGGUGUGAAGUUAUUCACGGGAAGAGCUAGCCAGGUAUAACAUAUGGGAUUACUGGUUUAUGUGAAAAGCAAAAUGAUUACCCUCGUUGCGUCGCAAUGGUGAUCUCGUUUUUUAGUAUGAAUUUUUUCCUUAGCUGGCUUCUACUCGAUAUGAGAUGUUGUUCAACUAAUUAGUGUGCCAAAUUGCCAAUAGAUAUUUUCCGCUAAAUAAUUGACGAGAGAAUGUGGUCUUAACAUAUACUUGCUUUGUUACAGUCAUUUUCCUACUUCAUAAAAAAAGUUGAAGCACUGAAAAAAUCAAUCAAGGAAAUCAUUUCUGUAUUUUACAAAGGUGCACAAAAUGUGGUAUAAAACACAUGUUCCAAUCUCUAAAACAGUGGACAAUUUCGUUUCUUCAGGAAACUUAUUACAUAAGCUGCUGCAUAGCACCUAUAUGCUAUUUCUUUGGUUUGUUUGGACUUCCAAAACAUUGAAGAUUCAUGAAUCCCCCCAUUCUUAUAAGAUAACUGCUUCAUGGCAUAGGCAAUAUUGAGGUUGGGAUGAAAGUGUAAGAAUAUAGUCGUAUAUAAGAAGCGUAUCUAUGUUUCUUUCUGAUAUGGGAUUAAUUUAUCCUCCCAUCUUUUUCCCUCUGGUCAAUUGAACAGAUAUGCAACAUUACCACAACCUGUUUUUUUUUUUCAAAAUGGUAAUGGUAUGACGCUUACUGGUGGUUUGAUGGAUCCUUUUCUGCACUAUUGGUUCAGUGGUAUAUGGUAUGAUGCUUACUGAUGAUUUGAUAGAUCCCUUUCUGCACUACUGGUUUAGUGUUAUAAUUUGGUGUGUUAACCUCGAGGUUGUAGAUUUGAAUCUGAGUGCAUCUUCAUUGCGCACAUAUUGCCUAGUGUUAGAUUUUAAUAAAUUCUAGCUUGGCAAGUACCCCAUUGACGAGUACUAAUGUCGGAGGAAACUCUAACACCAACAGAUGCUGAUAGCCCCGAGCCUUAACCUCAACCAAAGUCAUGCAAUAAGUAAUAUCGUAUCAACCUUCUCAAUCUCCGACCUCGGACCAAUUUUCUUUCAGUAACUUUUGCAUUAACUAGCCAAGUGCUUUCACCCCACCGAAAAAUAUAGUGGUUAAGGCUCUCUUUCUAAGCAAUGCCCUCUUGAGAUUGAAAGAAAUGCCAAUGCGAAAAUAUUUGAUAAAAUAGAGCAAGUUGCUCGUCAACGGAAGUACCCUGUGUUAGAGCUUACCUCUUUAAUGAUUGCUGGCCCAUAUGGUAUGGAAGCAAGAAAUGAUUUUAGAUCUGUUCGGAGGAGUAUUGAAUGGUCAGAGGAGUAUUCCUGAGAGUCUAUCUGAGGAAUGGUCAUCACUCUACUCGUGUGUGUUUUUAAGAGCAAGAGAGAGAAACCACUUACGUCUGGUUUUCCAUAGCCUCAAAGGAAAACUAGUGGUGAUAUUCAUAUAACUCUUGGAUCCAACAAGCUUAUACUCUAAUGGAUCCAACUAUGUCAUUUAUAUUUUUGUGAUUUCCGCUUGAAGCUUGAUUUGUGAAAAACAUGAUAGUUCUAGAUAUUGGAUUAAAAGCGUGUUUCAAUAUGUAACUCCAUUAAGAAAAUACUUAUAGCAUGUAACCUUGUCUAUGUCCACUCCUCCAACCCUUUCAAGUAGAAUGAAAAUUCAGCACAGAUAUUUAUAAAAUUUAUAGGUGGACAUCGUAAUUCACAGAAUGUUUGCAGUAUCGCUGGAACAACAAACUGAAAGACUUUGCAUUCUCCAUAUAAUAUGCAAAUUUUUCCACGGCAAAGUGGAAAGGUAACCAGACCAUCAUGAUACCUUUGAUCAUAACUGAACCGGAUGUCCUAAAAAUAGUCUCCACAUGCCUUCUAUUUCUCAAACGAAGCUUGAAGAAUCACCUUGUUCAAUCAAUUGAUUUUCUUACAACUUUAUUGGGUGAGAAACAGAAUGUAGCCAAUGCAAUCCAACAAUUCUAUGUAUAGAAUCUCAAAAAAUCUGGCACUUAAUCUGUCAACAUUAACGAACUUUGGCAUUCGAAAAAUGAUGUCUUGAUUGAUGAGCAGGAAGUGAGUCAGGAACCUUGUCUUCAUUCUUUGAUAGUAGUUCAGAAUUGCAGGAAGGACUGUCAAUUCCUUAAUGCUUAUGUACGUUUUUCUUUUCAUUGUGUUGUAUGAAUCUUUUUUCCUUCUCUUUUUCUUGCACCAUGAUCCAUAUAUUUUAAGAAACAAUGCAAAGCAUUUUUUCAUGUCUUUAGAUCCACCUUGAUCUAGUCUCUAUAAAACUAGAAUCUUAUGUACAUACUACAUAAGCUGCUUUUUUGAGACACCAUUUUUCGAAAUACAGUAUUGUUGUUCGAUAAUCGAUCUCCUUUACAAGAUGCUUGUUUUGAUGAACUGUGAUUAUGAUACACAGGAAGUAAAAAUUCAGUGAAUGGUUGGUAAUUUUAGUGAUUGCAUGGGAUACCUUUUUUACGAAAUUCGCUUAUAUUGCAAGAUCAAUCCACUUUAACGAUUGUUGCUAGAUGAGGUGUGAUUCCCAUAGCAAAUAGAAUGCGCAAGUCAGAUGGUAUUGUUGUUAAAAGAGUGUGGACACAAUGACUAAAUGGGGCCAAGGAUGCAAUUACAAAGAUGUAAAUUGCGUAAUAUUUGGUUGAUCCUCUGAUGUUUGGAGACUCUUGAUUGUAUUUUCACAUGGAGCAGCAGCUGCUGUGUUUGGUUUCCUUGUGAGUAUGGUAUCUUUGGGUUGGAUAAUUUUGAAGACGGGGGUUCUUCAUGUCCCAUCUAGGUGCAAUGCUAUAAUUUGAUCAAAAUCACCUUGUUGGAGUCAUUGGACAGGAAAAUACUUUCAAACUUUGUUUUGUGAACUCGAGUACAAGUGUUGAGUGCAAGUAUGCGCCUCAGUGUCAGUUUCAUUUGGUUCUAAUUUCAAGUGUUGCAUUCAUGUCUCUAUGCUUACUGUUGGAAAAAGGAAAGAAAAGGGAGAAGAUAGGGGGUAGAAAAUCGAACUAAACGGGUGUGAAAUUUAUGACCUCCUACUCGGGGAAAAACACGUCUAAAACUAAAUACUCAGACUUAGAAGUGUCUGUUUGUUGAAAUAUGAAAGUAACUCAAGCUAAAUGCUAUUUAUUUGGCCUUGCCAUCCCCAAAACAUUCAAAACAAAUUUAACAUUUCUCUAGCACAUGCUAACAUUGGUGAGUCCACCUGAGAAGAUGAAGGAAAUGUUCAUAGCCACUCUAGUCAGCAUAGCUUCCACCUCUAGUUGGUUUUUACCCCUUUUCUUCUGCAGCAAAUGAAAGGAAGAUCUUUUUUUUAUCAAUUUUAUUUGUUUUUUUUUUUUUUUGGAUGCCUACCAAGGUGAAAUUUGACGAAUACAACUUGGAUUCUGAGGAAAUGAAGAGGCAAUCGGCUUGUCGAACUUUUAUCCAACUUGCAGGUCACUUUUGGUUAUCUGACGUUCUCACCUUUGUAUAGCUUAUUGAGUGUUCAAUGCUAGCUUAGUUAGAGCAAUUCGAGCUAUUGAAAUGUUUCCCAACCCAUCUUUGCGUGUACAUUGCAUUGGGCAUUUUAUAAUUUGACUAUGUUUCUCUUAUUUGUGCUUCAAGUUGAUGGGUGCAUGUUGCUUAUGAAUCGAAAUAGGUGUGGUAACUUCUUCCAUUGUAUAUGUUUUGGAGCUUACCAAACGCUGGGGUAAACAUGAAAUCCGCAUGGGAAUGAAAAUUGUAUACAUGUUUGAUGGAGGGACCAUAGAGUUGUACAAAAUGCUGCUCAUCCAACCUAAAGAGGACACCUUUCUCAUUCUUUUUUUUGAUAACUAGGUAUCCGUGCCAGUUGCGCGCACCCCGAGUAAUCCUAGGCCCUGAAGUUGAUGACUGGGCAAACCCUCUAGUGGCCCCCAAAGGGGCUCAUAACACCUAGGAGGUUUCGAACUUGAGAUCUUAUUAGGGAGCAAACCUCUAAAGAGACACCUUGUAUAUGAGAUUAUAGGAGUUUGUAAGGACAUGAAAGUUCCUCAAAUUCCAAGCACAAUUAAGAGAGCUGAAGCCAUAUUUUGACGAAAGAUCUGCUGUAGCAUGGCCUUGGCAGCUAUGUAAACAAAAGAAAACUGGGGACUGGGGAAAGAGUAACUCAAAGUUUGGAACCAGUUUCUAAUGUUAUGUUAAGUUGCAGAAAUUUUGAAUGAUAUGAAGGUUUCUAUUCUGGAACUGACAUGAAAUUGUGGGUUAAUAUAUGUUGUCUUACAUUACUGGUUUUUUCAUCCAUUUACUUCUUUGAGCUGCCGGGUCCGUAAAGCGGUAAAAGGGCGGUAUCGCUAAUGAUGCUGUGAAUGCUUCUAUUUGGGACUGACUUGUAGUGCGAUCUAAACUUGCUGUGAUCUAUUUAGAACUGACUUGCAUUUUGAUCUAACUUGGAGAAAUAUAGCCAGCAAUUAUGAGUGAAUGUGAUUUGUGAUAGACAAGCUACUUCGCAAGAAGGAUGAUGAAGGCAAGUUGACGCAGCAAGCUGGAGCUAUGAAAGGCUCUCCGCCAAUCCUUAUUGAUUGAUUCAGGCUCUCAUCUUCCUUUCUUUCUGAUAUGAAUGAAACCCCUUGAAAAAUAAGAAAGGAGGCAUAAUCAGAAGGCUGUGGGGGCAUUGGCUGGAUUAGGGGACAAAUAUCGGGCAUCUUAUAGUGUUGGUGAUUGAAUGGGAGACUCUAAAUGCGACAUACAUUUUAUAUUGGUAGAUGAAUCCCCGCAUAACGGUAUUCGGAUGAUAUGUGAUUGAAAGAAAUGAACUAGAGAUUGUAUUAUUUUUCAUAUUGAGCAACUAUGUUUGAAUUCCUUCUUGUGUGUGAAUCUUAAUUGGUACAGACUGAUGUGUGUUGCUCACCAGAUACUGUGCUAUUUUGGCUUGAGUGGAUUCUAAUGGGUCUCGGAUGGGCAUUUUGUUGUCUUCCUCCUUACUCCUUUUAGUCUUUGUAUUUCUCAAAGAUUAAUAAAAAUAUUUUUGCUGUUCAAAAAAAAAAA
Rhododendron vialii is the source of this 7015-nucleotide long non-coding RNA. RefSeq lists it as uncharacterized. The record is from RefSeq and is a predicted model, not a curated record. Lineage: Eukaryota; Viridiplantae; Streptophyta; Magnoliopsida; Ericales; Ericaceae. The transcript has 2 exons.